RNAcentral lists this ribosomal RNA (595 nucleotides) under Trichoderma atroviride. RNAcentral describes it as "eukaryotic LSU rRNA". It matches the Rfam family "Eukaryotic large subunit ribosomal RNA", at positions 1 to 647 of the family's 3401-position model. Lineage: Eukaryota; Fungi; Ascomycota; Sordariomycetes; Hypocreales; Hypocreaceae. The record is from RNAcentral.
UUGACCUCGGAUCAGGUAGGAAUACCCGCUGAACUUACAACAGGGAUUGCCCCAGUAACGGCGAGUGAAGCGGCAACAGCUCAAAUUUGAAAUCUGGCCCCUAGGGUCCGAGUUGUAAUUUGUAGAGGAUGCUUUUGGUGAGGUGCCGCCCGAGUUCCCUGGAACGGGACGCCGCAGAGGGUGAGAGCCCCGUCUGGCUGGCCACCGAGCCUAUGUAAAGCUCCUUCGACGAGUCGAGUAGUUUGGGAAUGCUGCUCAAAAUGGGAGGUAUAUGUCUUCUAAAGCUAAAUAUUGGCCAGAGACCGAUAGCGCACAAGUAGAGUGAUCGAAAGAUGAAAAGCACCUUGAAAAGAGGGUUAAACAGUACGUGAAAUUGUUGAAAGGGAAGCGCUUGUGACCAGACUUGGGCGCGGCGGAUCAUCCGGGGUUCUCCCCGGUGCACUUCGCCGCGUUCAGGCCAGCAUCAGUUCGGCGCGGGGGAAAAAGGCUUCGGGAACGUGGCUCCUCCGGGAGUGUUAUAGCCCGUUGCAUAAUACCCUGCGCUGGACUGAGGACCGCGCAUCUGCAAGGAUGCUGGCGUAAUGGUCACCAGCGA